AGCGAACGCUGGCUGCAGGCUUAACACAUGCAAGUCGAGCGGGCAUCUUCGGGUGUCAGCGGCGGACGGGUGAGUAACGCGUGGGAACGUGCCUUCUGGUUCGGAAUAACUCAGGGAAACUUGAGCUAAUACCGGAUACGCCCUUUUGGGGAAAGGUUUACUGCCGGAAGAUCGGCCCGCGUCUGAUUAGCUAGUUGGUGGGGUAACGGCCUACCAAGGCGACGAUCAGUAGCUGGUCUGAGAGGAUGAUCAGCCAAACUGGGACUGAGACACGGCCCAGACUCCUACGGGAGGCAGCAGUGGGGAAGAUUGGACACUGGGGGCAACCCUGAGCCAGACAUGACACGUAAGUAAUGAAGGCCUUAGGGUUGUAAAGCUCUUUUAUCCGGGACGAUAAUGACGGUACCGGAGGAAUAAGCCCCGGCUAACUUCGUGCCAGCCGCCGCGGUAA
RNAcentral lists this ribosomal RNA (451 nucleotides) under uncultured bacterium. RNAcentral describes it as "partial 16S ribosomal RNA". It matches the Rfam family "Bacterial small subunit ribosomal RNA", at positions 29 to 523 of the family's 1533-position model. The record is from RNAcentral.